AAAUCCCCCCAAGCCGUAGCUUCUAACUUCGGCACAGUAUUCUUUACUGGGAUUUU
This 56-nucleotide transfer RNA is filed under the name Crenidorsum sp. Its description in RNAcentral is "tRNA-Ser". Lineage: Eukaryota; Metazoa; Arthropoda; Insecta; Hemiptera; Aleyrodidae. The record is from RNAcentral.